GGCGUGUGAGUGGUGUUAGGAAUGUUGGGAAAGUAGGCUCCGUGCUUUCGCAUCGAACUACUGGACAACAUCCUUUUCAAGCCUCGAGCGUUGAUUCAAUGCUCGUCUGACGACCGUGUUCCUGUAUUGGAUACCCAUGUCGGAGGAACUACGCUUCUGUUCCCUUUAGUCCUCUCGGUGCCUGUUAUGGGCAUCGAGCGGAGCACGUAGUUUGAUCUUUCGAACCCAGCACGCCGAUUUGGUUGCGACGGUCGUUCGAUCGAAUCUUGUGUUCUCGGAUGCGGAAAGUUCGAUGGGUCCAAGGAUCGUAUCCUUGUGUUCGCCCUACGUGGGAAACCGUCCCUCGGUGAGAACGACGUCCGUCGUGCGCUGCGAUUCGUCCGACGCUCGCUUGAGCGGAGGAUGCUUCGCGCGUGCAUCGGCGUCCUCGGAGGAAUGCUACCUGGUUGAUCCUGCCAGUAGUCAUAUGCUUGUCUCAAAGAUUAAGCCAUGCAUG
This 496-nucleotide unclassified non-coding RNA is filed under the name Bronwenia cinerascens. RNAcentral's name for it is "partial contains external transcribed spacer and 18S ribosomal RNA". The stretch from base 440 to 496 matches the Rfam family "Eukaryotic small subunit ribosomal RNA", at positions 1 to 57 of the family's 1831-position model. Lineage: Eukaryota; Viridiplantae; Streptophyta; Magnoliopsida; Malpighiales; Malpighiaceae. The record is from RNAcentral.